UGUCGAUACCUAUCAAUCAGAUUGACCACGUGAACUUGU
RNAcentral lists this ribosomal RNA (39 nucleotides) under Saruma henryi. RNAcentral describes it as "partial 18S ribosomal RNA". The record is from RNAcentral. Lineage: Eukaryota; Viridiplantae; Streptophyta; Magnoliopsida; Piperales; Asaraceae.